CCAUUCCGCGUGCAGGACGAAGGCCUUCGGGUUGUAAACUGCUUUUGUACGGAACGAAAAGGUCCUGGUUAAUACCCGGGGCUCAUGACGGUACCGUAAGAAUAAGCACCGGCUAACUACGUGCCAGCAGCCGCGGUAAUACGUAGGGUGCAAGCGUUAAUCGGAAUUACUGGGCGUAAAGCGUGCGCAGGCGGUUAUGUAAGACAGAUGUGAAAUCCCCGGGCUCAACCUGGGAACUGCAUUUGUGACUGCAUAGCUAGAGUACGGCAGAGGGGGAUGGAAUUCCGCGUGUAGCAGUGAAAUGCGUAGAUAUGCGGAGGAACACCGAUGGCGAAGGCAAUCCCCUGGGCCUGUACUGACGCUCAUGCACGAAAGCGUGGGGAGCAAACAGGAUUAGAUACCCUGGUAGUCCACGCCCUAAACGAUGUCAACUGGUUGUUGGGUCUUCACUGACUCAGUAACGAAGCUAACGCGUGAAGUUGACCGCCUGGGGAGUACGGCCGCAAGGUUUGAAACUCACAGGAAUUGACGGGGACC
This 537-nucleotide ribosomal RNA is filed under the name uncultured bacterium. RNAcentral's name for it is "bacterial SSU rRNA". It matches the Rfam family "Bacterial small subunit ribosomal RNA", at positions 392 to 921 of the family's 1533-position model. The record is from RNAcentral.